RNAcentral lists this ribosomal RNA (473 nucleotides) under uncultured bacterium. Its description in RNAcentral is "bacterial SSU rRNA". It matches the Rfam family "Bacterial small subunit ribosomal RNA", at positions 33 to 507 of the family's 1533-position model. The record is from RNAcentral.
ACGACGCUGCGGCGUGCCUAACACAUGCAAGUCGAGCGGAGAUGUACUGAAGAUUUAUCGGAUGUACAUCUUAGCGGCGGACGGGUGAGUAACGCGUGGGCAACCUGCCUUCCACUGGGGGAGUAACACAGGGAAACCUGUGCUAAUACCGCAUGACAUCACAUAGGGCAUCCUGUGUGAUCAAAGGAGUGAUCCGGUGGAAGAUGGGCCCGCGUCCGAUUAGCUAGUUGGUGAGGUAACGGCUCACCAAGGCGACGAUCGGUAGCCGGACUGAGAGGUUGGCCGGCCACAUUGGGACUGAGACACGGCCCAGACUCCUACGGGAGGCAGCAGUGGGGAAUAUUGCGCAAUGGGGGGAACCCUGACGCAGCGACGCCGCGUGAAGGAAGAAGGCCUUCGGGUUGUAAACUUCUUUGAUGAGGGACGAAGGAAGUGACGGUACCUCAAAAAACAAGGCCACGGCUAACUACGUG